Molecule: ribosomal RNA, 938 nt
Filed under: Ceratocystiopsis sp. MY-2023b
Lineage: Eukaryota; Fungi; Ascomycota; Sordariomycetes; Ophiostomatales; Ophiostomataceae
Description: partial large subunit ribosomal RNA
Rfam family: Eukaryotic large subunit ribosomal RNA
Source: RNAcentral
UUGACCUCGGAUCAGGUAGGACUACCCGCUGAACUUAAGCAUAUCAAUAAGCGGAGGAAAAGAAACCAACAGGGAUUGCCUCAGUAACGGCGAGUGAAGCGGCAACAGCUCAAAUUUGAAAUCUGGCUCCCCUGCGGGGGCCCGAGUUGUAAUUUGGAGAGGAUGUUUCUGGCGCGGCGCCUUCCGGAGUUCCUUGGAACAGGACGCCACAGAGGGUGAGAGCCCCGUACGGUCGGCCGCCAAACCUUCAAGAAACUCCUUCGACGAGUCGAGUAGUUUGGGAAUGCUGCUCAAAAUGGGAGGUAAAUUUCUUCUAAAGCUAAAUACCGGCCAGAGACCGAUAGCGCACAAGUAGAGUGAUCGAAAGAUGAAAAGCACCUUGAAAAGAGGGUUAAACAGUACGUGAAAUUGUUGAAAGGGAAGCGCCUGCGACCAGACUCGCGCCCCGCGGACCAGCCGGCGUUCUCGCCGGUGCACUCCGCGGGGUGCGGGCCAGCAUCGGUUUUCCCUGGGGGAGAAAGGCCGCGGGAACGUAGCUCUUUCGGGAGUGUUAUAGCCCGUGGCGCCAUGCCCCAGGGGGGACCGAGGACCGCGCUUCGGCAAGGAUGCUGGCGUAAUGGUCGUCGGCGACCCGUCUUGAAACACGGACCAAGGAGUCAAGCAUUGGGGCGAGUGUCUGGGUGCCAAACCCGCACGCGAAAUGAAAGUGAACGUAGGUGAGAGCUUCGGCGCAUCACCGACCGAUCCUGAUGUCUUCGGAUGGAUUUGAGUAAGAGCCCCACCGCUUGGACCCGAAAGAUGGUGAACUAUGCCUGUAUAGGGUGAAGCCAGAGGAACUCUGGUGGAGGCUCGCAGCGGUUCUGACGUGCAAAUCGAUCGUCAAAUAUGGGCAUGGGGGCGAAAGACUAAUCGAACCAUCUAGUAGCUGGUUACCGCCG